GACGAACGCUGGCGGCGUGCUUAAUACAUGCAAGUCAACUGAACUUUAGGUAGCAAUAUUUAAAGGGAGGUGGCGCACGGGUGAGUAACACGUAGGUAAUCUGCCUUCAGGACUGACAUAAUUCCGCGAAAGCGGGACUAAAAUCAGAUGAUGCAGCGGCUCGACAUCGAGACAGUUGUUAAACCUUCGGGGCCUGAAGAUGAGCCUGCGUCUGAUUAGGUAGUUGGCGGGGUAAAAGCCCACCAAGCCUGCGAUCAGUAGCUGGUCUGAGAGGAUGAUCAGCCACACUGGAACUGAGACACGGUCCAGACUCCUACGGGAGGCAGCAGUAAGGAAUAUUGCUCAAUGGCCGAAAAGGCUGAAGCAGCAACGCCGCGUGGAGGGAUGAAAUACUUUAGUAUGUAAACUCCUGUAAGAGGGGGAAAAGUAAUACAGCUAUGCUGUGUUGAUUGUACCCUCAGAGUAAGCACCGGCUAACU
This 479-nucleotide ribosomal RNA is filed under the name uncultured bacterium. RNAcentral describes it as "bacterial SSU rRNA". It matches the Rfam family "Bacterial small subunit ribosomal RNA", at positions 28 to 502 of the family's 1533-position model. The record is from RNAcentral.